Molecule: long non-coding RNA, 1314 nt
Filed under: Struthio camelus australis
Lineage: Eukaryota; Metazoa; Chordata; Aves; Struthioniformes; Struthionidae
Description: lncRNA (ENSSCUG00000006560.1)
Source: RNAcentral
CUGGGCACCUACAGCAGAAGGGAGUGCAACACGAUGGUCUAUGAGUCCUGUUGAAGAUGUGAACAGAACUGACCGGUGCGAAAGCAGAGGAAACUGAACAUAGGUGUCCUGUGUCCUCAGGGUUUGCGAAAGUUUGGUACCUUUCUUAGGUAUUUGCAAGACUUCUGCCUUUUCUGCUGAUCCUUACCAGAGUCUGAGAAGAUCUUUCUGUGGUCAGACUUCUUUUGAAGAAACAUGGGAAAGGGGAUGGAAAGGAUUAUUUCAGCAACUCCUGAAAUGCAAAACCUUCCAUGGCAAGAGAGAAAAGGCAAUCUUGUGACUACAGCUCUGACCUAACGAACACGUUCUCUCCAAGUAUGAUUUCAUUCAGGUUGUGUGAGCAAAAGCUGCAUUGCAAAAACAGAACAAUUGGCCUUGGGCAGACAGGAAUCCCAAGUGUUACGAGACAUCAAUGGAGGAACAGACGUUAUGAUACAGUAAGGACGAGAGCACUUGAUCAGAGGCUGCGCUGUGGUACUUCCUUCUAUAAUCAGAGUAUCAUGCAGUUCUCUAUGGUUUCUGCCCAUGGGAAUCCCACCAUUAUUUCUAUAAUUUGCUUGAGGGGAAAAAAAAGAGGCAAAUUGACUUAAAAAUCUUAAGAAUUACCAGGGUACAUACAAAGCCUGCGGAAGACCUUUUGCCAUUUAAACAGAAAUGCAGAUGGACAGAAGGAAAGCGUUUUAGAAACAGGGCAUGAAAUGGAUUGUUCUAAUGCAGCUUUACAUUCACACUGGUAAGACCAUAAAGGCCUGAGGAUAUCUACCUCACGUGUCCUGUGACAUAAGUGGGUAGGAUGGGAAAUGUGGCGCCCAAAAGCCUGGCCUACGCUAAUGCUUUAAAAUGUGUGCAGGCCAUCUUAGCCAGCCGCCAGAGCUGGAACCCGUUAUUGUUUGGUGUAAUGCUAGCGAGCUUUAUGAAACAUGCCUUUCACAAAAUUGAACUUCAUCUUAUGAUAGCUAUCAUCUGUGGAACACACGUGUCACUGUGAUAGGACUGCUACCAUGACCUUUUCAGAUACACUUCUUCUCAACCGGGCUAAUGAGAGUAGCCAUUACACGUGUUCAGCAGUGUCCUUGACUUGACGCAAUGCCCAUCCCUCAUAUGUUUGCAAUCUCCCUUGCAUGUGAAUAUAUCCAAAAGAAUUUUUUAAAUUUUUUUUUCUUUUAAACUGUCCAUUUAUGUUUCUUAUGGAAAGGCAGAAGAAAUGAUUCUUUUGCCCUGUGUAUGUACAUUUUUCUCAAUAAACAAAUAUCUGUGUUUCUAUUAUCUUUUCUC